RNAcentral lists this long non-coding RNA (1212 nucleotides) under Oncorhynchus mykiss (rainbow trout). RNAcentral describes it as "lncRNA (ENSOMYG00000066881.1)". The record is from RNAcentral. Lineage: Eukaryota; Metazoa; Chordata; Actinopteri; Salmoniformes; Salmonidae.
UUGCUCGAAAAUUACGCAAUGAUGUAUUUCAUCGAAAUAGACGUGAACAUGCCUGCGUGCGCGCAACUAAUGGAGUAACCCAUGCAUUCGUCAAAUUAUUGACAUGCUUGUCAACUUGCGCGCACUGAUUUUUUCCCUUCACAUUCCAAAUGGUAUAGCCUAUAGAAAGUGAGUCCCUGAAUCGAUGUGCACCACAUCUCAACUCCCAUUCGUUCGAGGAGGAAACGCUAGAACUGGUGAGAAAUAUUGGCGUGGCAUCUAAACCCAGGUUUUAUUUUCGUGUCACGUUGAACCCUAUUUAGCAACAUCCCAUAGAAGUCAUGGAAGGAGUCAGCAGCAACAGGAACAUGUCAUACAGUCGAUGGAGUUAUGACAGAAGAAAGCCGUGACAGAAUCACCCACCACAACAGGACCAAGCGGCGUGGUGACAGGCAGCGGCAGCAGGAGCAGCGCGAGGAGUACUGGACAUGGGAGGAUGAGUUGGAUGGAAAAGGACCCUGGGCACAGCCUGGAGAAUAUCGCCGCCCCAAAGAAGAGCUGGAGGCAGCGAAGGCGGAGAGGCGCUGGUAUGAGGAGGCAGCACGGCGGCGUGGAUGGAAGCCCGAGAGUCAGCCCCAAAAAUGUCUUGGGGGGGGGGGGCACACAGGAGGUGUGGUGAAGCCAGGUAGGAGACCUGCGCCAACUUCCUGUGCUUACCGGGCGAUGGCUAGAAAGCCUUCCUGUGCGAUGGCUAGAAAGCCGGUGACUUCGAACGCCGCCCGAACAAGGAGAGAAAAGGCGUUGUCUUGCCCUCUUCACGAAGGUCUUGGUGUUUGGACCAUUCUAGUUUGUUAGUAAUGUGGACACCAAGGAAAUUUAAACUCUCAACCUGCUCCACUACAGCCCCAUCAAUGAGAAUGGGGUGUGCUCAGCCUUCUUUUUCCUGUAGUCCACGAUCAUCUCCUUUGUCUUGAACAUUUUGAGGGAGAGGUUAUUGUCCUGGUACCACACUGACAGGUCUCUGACCUACUCCCUAUAGGCUGUCUCAUUGUUUUCGGUGAUCAGGCAUACAACCGUUGUCGUCUGCAAACUUAAUGACGGUGUUGGAGUCGUACUUGGCCACGCAGUCAUGGGUGAACAGGGAGUACAGGAGGGGACUAAGCAUGCACACCUGAGGGGCUGCUGAUGGCAGCAUUUGCGUGAAACUGAAAGCGCGAACCACUGCUUUUAAUC